RNAcentral lists this ribosomal RNA (649 nucleotides) under Vibrio harveyi. RNAcentral describes it as "bacterial SSU rRNA". It matches the Rfam family "Bacterial small subunit ribosomal RNA", at positions 130 to 774 of the family's 1533-position model. The record is from RNAcentral. Lineage: Bacteria; Pseudomonadati; Pseudomonadota; Gammaproteobacteria; Vibrionales; Vibrionaceae.
CCUGAUGUGGGGGAUAACCAUUGGAAACGAUGGCUAAUACCGCAUAAUACCUACGGGUCAAAGAGGGGGACCUUCGGGCCUCUCGCGUCAGGAUAUGCCUAGGUGGGAUUAGCUAGUUGGUGAGGUAAUGGCUCACCAAGGCGACGAUCCCUAGCUGGUCUGAGAGGAUGAUCAGCCACACUGGAACUGAGACACGGUCCAGACUCCUACGGGAGGCAGCAGUGGGGAAUAUUGCACAAUGGGCGCAAGCCUGAUGCAGCCAUGCCGCGUGUGUGAAGAAGGCCUUCGGGUUGUAAAGCACUUUCAGUCGUGAGGAAGGUAGUGUAGUUAAUAGCUGCAUUAUUUGACGUUAGCGACAGAAGAAGCACCGGCUAACUCCGUGCCAGCAGCCGCGGUAAUACGGAGGGUGCGAGCGUUAAUCGGAAUUACUGGGCGUAAAGCGCAUGCAGGUGGUUUGUUAAGUCAGAUGUGAAAGCCCGGGGCUCAACCUCGGAAUAGCAUUUGAAACUGGCAGACUAGAGUACUGUAGAGGGGGGUAGAAUUUCAGGUGUAGCGGUGAAAUGCGUAGAGAUCUGAAGGAAUACCGGUGGCGAAGGCGGCCCCCUGGACAGAUACUGACACUCAGAUGCGAAAGCGUGGGGAGCAAACA